This 984-nucleotide ribosomal RNA is filed under the name uncultured phototrophic eukaryote. Its description in RNAcentral is "bacterial SSU rRNA". It matches the Rfam family "Bacterial small subunit ribosomal RNA", at positions 9 to 1033 of the family's 1533-position model. The record is from RNAcentral.
GAGUUUGAUUAUGGCUCAGGAUGAACGCUGGCGGUAUGCCUUAUACAUGCAAGUCGUACGAGAGUUUUUAGCUCAAGUGGCGGACGGGUGAGUAACACGUAAGAAUUUGCCUUUAGGAGGGGGACAACAACUGGAAACGGUUGCUAAUACCCCAUAUGCUUUCGAGUGAAAUGGUUUUUCCGCCUAAAGAGAAGCUUGCGGCUGAUUAGCUUGUUGGUAGAGUAAUAGCCUACCAAGGCGACGAUCAGUAUCUGGUUUGAGAGGACGAUCAGACACACUGGAACUGAGACACGGUCCAGACUCCUACGGGAGGCAGCAGUAGGGAAUUUUCCGCAAUGGGCGAAAGCCUGACGGAGCAAUACCGCGUGAGGGAUGACUGCCUAUGGGUUGUAAACCUCUUUUUUCAGGGAGGAAUAAAUGACGUGUACCUGAAGAAUAAGCAUCGGCUAACUCCGUGCCAGCAGCCGCGGUAAGACGGAGGAUGCAAGUGUUAUCCGGAAUCACUGGGCGUAAAGCGUCUGUAGGUGGUCAAAUAAGUCAACUGUUAAAUCUUGGGGCUCAACCUCAAAAUCGCAGUCGAAACUAUUAGGCUAGAGUAUAGUAGAGGUAAAGGGAAUUUCCAGUGGAGCGGUGAAAUGCGUAGAGAUUGGAAAGAACACCGGUGGCGAAGGCACUUUACUGGGCUAUUACUGACACUCAGAGACGAAAGCUAGGGUAGCAAAUGGGAUUAGAUACCCCAGUAGUCCUAGCCGUAAACAAUGGAUACUAGGUGUUGAACAGAUCGAUCUGUGCAGUACUAAAGCUAACGCGUUAAGUAUCCCGCCUGGGAAGUAUGCACGCAAGUGUGAAACUCAAAGGAAUUGACGGGGGCCCGCACAAGCGGUGGAGCAUGUGGUUUAAUUCGAUGCAACGCGAAGAACCUUACCAGGGUUUGACAUGAUACGAAUUUCUUUGAAAAAAGAAAGUGCCUUUUGGAACGUAUAC